Molecule: ribosomal RNA, 488 nt
Filed under: uncultured bacterium
Lineage: Bacteria
Description: partial 16S ribosomal RNA
Rfam family: Bacterial small subunit ribosomal RNA
Source: RNAcentral
AUUGAACGCUGGCGGCAGGCCUAACACAUGCAAGUCGAACGGUAGCACAGAGAGCUUGCUCUCGGGUGACGAGUGGCGGACGGGUGAGUAAUGUCUGGGAAACUGCCCGAUGGAGGGGGAUAACUACUGGAAACGGUAGCUAAUACCGCAUAACGUCUUCGGACCAAAGUGGGGGACCUUCGGGCCUCACACCAUCGGAUGUGCCCAGAUGGGAUUAGCUGGUAGGUGGGGUAACGGCUCACCUAGGCGACGAUCCCUAGCUGGUCUGAGAGGAUGACCAGCCACACUGGAACUGAGACACGGUCCAGACUCCUACGGGAGGCAGCAGUGGGGAAUAUUGCACAAUGGGCGCAAGCCUGAUGCAGCCAUGCCGCGUGUAUGAAGAAGGCCUUCGGGUUGUAAAGUACUUUCAGUGGGGAGGAAGGCGAUGAAGUUAAUAACUUCGUCGAUUGACGUUACCCGCAGAAGAAGCACCGGCUAACUCCGUG